RNAcentral lists this ribosomal RNA (468 nucleotides) under uncultured bacterium. Its description in RNAcentral is "partial 16S ribosomal RNA". It matches the Rfam family "Bacterial small subunit ribosomal RNA", at positions 28 to 507 of the family's 1533-position model. The record is from RNAcentral.
GACGAACGCUGGCGGCGUGCUUAACACAUGCCAGUCGAACGGAAAGGCCCUGCUUUUGUGGGGUGCUCGAGUGGCGAACGGGUGAGUAACACGUGAGUAACCUGCCCUUGACUUUGGGAUAACUUCAGGAAACUGGGGCUAAUACCGGAUAGGAGCUCCUGCUGCAUGGUGGGGGUUGGAAAGUUUCGGCGGUUGGGGAUGGACUCGCGGCUUAUCAGCUUGUUGGUGGGGUAGUGGCUUACCAAGGCUUUGACGGGUAGCCGGCCUGAGAGGGUGACCGGCCACAUUGGGACUGAGAUACGGCCCAGACUCCUACGGGAGGCAGCAGUGGGGAAUAUUGCACAAUGGGCGGAAGCCUGAUGCAGCAACGCCGCGUGCGGGAUGACGGCCUUCGGGUUGUAAACCGCAUUCGCCUGUGACGAAGCGUGAGUGACGGUAAUGGGUAAAGAAGCACCGGCUAACUACGUG